UGGGGAAUAUUGGACAAUGGGCGAAAGCCUGAUCCAGCAAUGCCGCGUGAGUGAUGAAGGCCUUAGGGUUGUAAAGCUCUUUUACCCGGGAUGAUAAUGACAGUACCGGGAGAAUAAGCUCCGGCUAACUCCGUGCCAGCAGCCGCGGUAAUACGGAGGGAGCUAGCGUUGUUCGGAAUUACUGGGCGUAAAGCGCACGUAGGCGGCUAUUCAAGUCAGAGGUGAAAGCCUGGAGCUCAACUCCAGAACUGCCUUUGAAACUAGAUAGCUUGAAUCCAGGAGAGGUGAGUGGAAUUCCGAGUGUAGAGGUGAAAUUCGUAGAUAUUCGGAAGAACACCAGUGGCGAAGGCGGCUCACUGGACUGGUAUUGACGCUGAGGUGCGAAAGCGUGGGGAGCAAACA
This 402-nucleotide ribosomal RNA is filed under the name uncultured Sphingomonas sp. Its description in RNAcentral is "bacterial SSU rRNA". It matches the Rfam family "Bacterial small subunit ribosomal RNA", at positions 355 to 774 of the family's 1533-position model. The record is from RNAcentral. Lineage: Bacteria; Pseudomonadati; Pseudomonadota; Alphaproteobacteria; Sphingomonadales; Sphingomonadaceae.